AUUGAACGCUGGCGGCAGGCCUAACACAUGCAAGUCGAACGGUAACAGGAAGCAGCUUGCUGCUUUUCUGACGAGUGGCGGACGGGUGAGUAAUGUCUGGGAAACUGCCUGAUGGAGGGGGAUAACUACUGGAAACGGUAGCUAAUACCGCAUAACGUCGCAAGACCAAAGAGGGGGACCUUCGGGCCUCUUGCCAUCGGAUGUGCCCAGAUGUGAUUAGCUAGUAGGUGGGGUAACGGCUCACCUAGGCGACGAUCCCUAGCUGGUCUGAGAGGAUGACCAGCCACACUGGAACUGAGACACGGUCCAGACUCCUACGGGAGGCAGCAGUGGGGAAUAUUGCACAAUGGGCGCAAGCCUGAUGCAGCCAUGCCGCGUGUAUGAAGAAGGCCUUCGGGUUGUAAAGUACUUUCAGAGGGGAGGAAGGGAGUAAAGUGAAUACCUUAGCUGAUUGAAGUUACACGCAGAAGAAGCACCGGCUAACUCAGUG
Molecule: ribosomal RNA, 490 nt
Filed under: uncultured bacterium
Lineage: Bacteria
Description: partial 16S ribosomal RNA
Rfam family: Bacterial small subunit ribosomal RNA
Source: RNAcentral